GUGGGGAAUAUUGGACAAUGGGCGAAAGCCUGAUCCAGCCAUGCCGCGUGAGUGAUGAAGGCCUUAGGGUUGUAAAGCUCUUUCAGUAGGGAAGAUAAUGACGGUACCUACAGAAGAAGCCCCGGCUAACUUCGUGCCAGCAGCCGCGGUAAUACGAAGGGGGCUAGCGUUGUUCGGAUUUACUGGGCGUAAAGCGCACGUAGGCGGAUUGGUCAGUUAGAGGUGAAAUCCUGGAGCUCAACUCCAGAACUGCCUUUAAUACUGCCAGUCUAGAGUCCAGAAGAGGUGAGUGGAACUCCUAGUGUAGAGGUGGAAUUCGUAGAUAUUAGGAAGAACACCAGUGGCGAAGGCGGCUCACUGGUCUGGUACUGACGCUGAGGUGCGAAAGCGUGGGGAGCAAACAGGAUUAGAAACCCUGGUAGUCC
This 425-nucleotide ribosomal RNA is filed under the name uncultured bacterium. Its description in RNAcentral is "bacterial SSU rRNA". It matches the Rfam family "Bacterial small subunit ribosomal RNA", at positions 354 to 796 of the family's 1533-position model. The record is from RNAcentral.